Echinops telfairi (small Madagascar hedgehog) is the source of this 189-nucleotide small nuclear RNA. RefSeq annotates it as U2 spliceosomal RNA. The record is from RefSeq and is a predicted model, not a curated record. The transcript has a single exon. Lineage: Eukaryota; Metazoa; Chordata; Mammalia; Afrosoricida; Tenrecidae.
AUCGCUUCUCGGCCUUUUGGUUAAGAUCAAGUGUGGUAUCGGUUAAAAUCUGCGGGGUCUACGGGUGGUCAACAUCAAAUGCGUUUAUUUCUCAUACAAUAUAUUAUCUUUUUAUUUUGAGCUUAUUUCAGCAUAAAUAAUGUAUUUUAAAUGAAUUUCUAUGAUAGCACAUGCUAUUGAAUAAAUCCU